CAGGUUAGAGCCAGGUGGUUAGGCGUCUUGUUUGGGUCAAGAAAUUGUUAUGUUCGAAUCAUAAUAACCUGA
This 72-nucleotide transfer RNA is filed under the name Aspergillus tubingensis. RNAcentral describes it as "tRNA-Pro". Lineage: Eukaryota; Fungi; Ascomycota; Eurotiomycetes; Eurotiales; Aspergillaceae. The record is from RNAcentral. RNAcentral also lists the same sequence under 2 other names.